GGGCCGCUAGCUCAUCUGGCAGAGCGCCGUGCUGAUAACGCGGAGGUAGGUGGUUCGAGUCCACCGCGGCCCACCA
This 76-nucleotide transfer RNA is filed under the name Chloroflexota bacterium. Its description in RNAcentral is "Chloroflexi bacterium tRNA-Ile". It matches the Rfam family "tRNA". From Rfam's summary of the family: Transfer RNA (tRNA) molecules are approximately 80 nucleotides in length. Their secondary structure includes four short double-helical elements and three loops (D, anti-codon, and T loops). Lineage: Bacteria; Bacillati; Chloroflexota. The record is from RNAcentral.